GACUGGGACGCUGACUGGGACGGUAACUGGGACGCUGACGAGGACGAUGACGAGGACUGGGACUGGGACGGUGACUGGGACGGUGACGAGGACGGUGACUGGGACGAUAACGAUGACGAGGACGAUGACUGGGACGGUGACGAGGACGAGGACGAUGACUGGGACGGUGAAUGGGACGAUGACUGGGAUGAUGACUGGGACGAUGACUGGGACGGUGACUGGGACGAUGACUGGGUCGGUGACCGGGACGAUAACUGGGACGGUGACUGGGACGAUGACUGGGACGGUGACUAGGACGAUGACUGGGAUGAUGACGAGGACGGUGACUGGGACGAUAACGAUGACGAGGACGGUGACUGAGAUGAUGACGAGGACGAUAACUAGGACGAUGACGAGGACGAUGACUAGGACUAAGGC
RNAcentral lists this long non-coding RNA (417 nucleotides) under Helianthus annuus (common sunflower). Its description in RNAcentral is "hypothetical non coding rna". The record is from RNAcentral. Lineage: Eukaryota; Viridiplantae; Streptophyta; Magnoliopsida; Asterales; Asteraceae.